Small nucleolar RNA from Megalops cyprinoides (Indo-Pacific tarpon), 143 nucleotides. RefSeq annotates it as small nucleolar RNA SNORA79. Lineage: Eukaryota; Metazoa; Chordata; Actinopteri; Elopiformes; Megalopidae. The transcript has a single exon. The record is from RefSeq and is a predicted model, not a curated record.
CGACAACCGUUCCUCCUACUGCUCCGAGCCCUAGCACUUGGGAUUUUAGGUUGUCGCAGAUUAUAGCGGGUCUUCUUCACUCAGUGUUCAUGAGGUAGCGGGGCUGCCACUUUGGACACUGGAUUUUGCGGGACCCAACACUG